CCUACGGGAGGCAGCAGUGAGGAAUAUUGGUCAAUGGGCGGGAGCCUGAACCAGCCAAGUCGCGUGAGGGAAGACGGUCCUAUGGAUUGUAAACCUCUUUAGGCGGGGAGCAAUGCCGGGCACGCGUGCCCGGAGGGAGAGUACCCGCAGAAUAAGCAUCGGAUAACUCCGUGCCAGCAGCCGCGGUAAUACGGAGGAUGCGAGCGUUAUCCGGUUUUAUUGGGUUUAAUGGGUGCGUAGGUGGAUUUUUAAGUCAGCGGUAAAUUGUCCGGGCUCAACCCGGGCCGGCCGUUGAAACUGGGGAGCGUGAGUGGGCGAGAAGUAUGCGGAAUGCGUGGUGUAGCGGUGAAAUGCAUAGAUAUCACGCAGAACUCCGAUUGCGAAGGCAGCAUACCGACGCCCGACUGACGCUGAGGCACGAAAGCGUGGGGAUCGAACAGGAUUAGAUACCCCUGUAGUC
RNAcentral lists this ribosomal RNA (460 nucleotides) under uncultured bacterium. RNAcentral's name for it is "partial 16S ribosomal RNA". It matches the Rfam family "Bacterial small subunit ribosomal RNA", at positions 338 to 795 of the family's 1533-position model. The record is from RNAcentral.